Long non-coding RNA from Gallus gallus (chicken), 1900 nucleotides. RefSeq lists it as uncharacterized. The record is from RefSeq and is a predicted model, not a curated record. Lineage: Eukaryota; Metazoa; Chordata; Aves; Galliformes; Phasianidae. The transcript has 3 exons.
GUGACGCGGGGGGCGCGGCCUGCCCCGGCCGCAGGGAGGGCCGCGCGGAGGGUGGGGGUUGGUCGGGUACCGGGCUCGCACGGGCUGCCCCUUCCCCGUAAGGAGGCUGCUGGGGAAACGAGAAACGAAGCGGUUCGGCCCCCGGCACCCCUUUCCGAAAUAAAGUGCUGGCAUCGCAGUAGCAGUGAUCGCUGCUUGUUCGGGUAACCCGUUCAAAUGAGAAUUAGAAACGGGGCAAUAUUGAUGCAGCUGAAGCCUUUACGAGGAUAUACCGUCAGUUUUAUUCUGUUGUAGGCUUAUGGAAUGUCCAAAACGAGUCCAGAGCUGCCCUGCUCCCCUGGCCACGCUGAGCCCCCCACACCUCUCUGGGGAGGAGAACCCCGAGGCACAUCUCAGUGCCCACAGCCCUGGGUCUGGGCUGGGAUAGCUCUAAGGAUGGAUGCUGUCCUACCUGAGCACUGCCACUGGGAUCCUGGAGGAGGUGUUUCAGGAGCUCUGAGGUACCUGCAGGACAACUACAAUGAAGAAUGGGACUUCUUGGUGAGGAUGGCUGCAGCUGACUGCCCAGCCCUUCAGCGGGGCUGAGGAGCUCCAUCACAAGCCUAUCUGGUUUGGUGCAGCUCUGUGUGGGAGUUCGGUGUGCCAGCAGCUUUCCCUUGGGCCUGGUCCCCCAGCACCUUGCCUCUGCAAAAAUGCCCCUCAGAGUCUGGCUGCAGAGCCAGUUCAUUUAGAUGUCAUUUUUUACCUUAUGUGGAAAAACCUGAUGCUAAGUCAAGGGUCCGCAACAGACCUCCAGUGUGGGUGUUUUAACUGUGGCAGAGUCCAAAGCUUGGGUUUCCCUCCAGUGGGUACCACUGAGCCUGAAAGUGCUGGGAUUUCUCAUCACAAGAGCUUCACCAAGUGUCUACAAGUCCUGCCUGGGCUUUGUCGCAGCUGCACGUGCAGUACCAGCCCCAUGCUGACAGCAAAAGGUGCUUUGUGCUAAGGAAUUUGCUGUGAUAGGUGCUCCCUGGGGACACUGUGGGUGGGCUGGCUGGGCCAGGAACUUCCCAAUAGCCUUAAAGGAAAGUAGCUGUGUAUCUGCAAACUGAGUUAUAGCUGGGGUUUCUGUUCUCAGCAGUAAAAUACUUCUGUGGUCCUGAGAGCUGGACCACAUCUAUCCUAGGCAAAAAUCCUUGCCACCAGUUGGCAGAUCAUACUGGUACCAGUGUGCCUGUGGCUCUUUGCUUCCUGUAGCCCAGUGGCUCAGCGUUUGCAGGGUUCAUCACGCCUCCUGGGAUGGAGCAGAGCACUCAAACUGGCUGCCCUACACACCAUCAACUCUGUCUUUAUAAGCAAGGCAACAAGAGCUGUGAGCCCUGCACAGCACUGGAGAAGCAAGGGCAGCACCAAGGGACGGGAAAGGCCUCAGCAGCCCCGGCACCCUGCUGUUGAUGUGGGAACGUCUGCCAGCCCAAGGCUGUGUCCUCUGCAUCCCUGGUGGUAUUGCUACCACCUCUGUCAAGAAAAAAGUGUUGUCAUAGCUGCAAGCUCUGCUCUCUCCCUCCUCCACACACAAGUGCUGUGAUGCCGAGACCCUGCCAGCAAGUGGAGCUGCCAGGAGAGGCUGCAGAAGGGGGGACAUCACCUCUGAGACCACUGGGGACCACAGCUCCUUCCUUGUGUCAGUGUUUGCAGGGGGAUGGCAGUGGUUGAGUGCUGAGGCUUAGCACUGCAGAGUGCAUCGUGCCUGCUUGCAGCAUCUGUGCCACCUGGAGAGCUGCAGCACUGUUCAAACUUCUAGCAGCAGUCCCCAAACACCCCCUGCUCUCAUGGUGAGCCUGUGCCUCACCGUGCAGGCUGCCUGCCAUCUGGCAUGAGUGGGACCGAGUAGAGUUAAAUAAAUGUUAAAUACACACUA